CCAGACUCCUACGGGAGGCAGCAGUGAGGAAUAUUGGUCAAUGGGCUUACGCCUGAACCAGCCAAGUCGCGUGAGGGAAGACUGCCCUAUGGGUUGUAAACCUCUUUUGUCAGGGAGCAACGCCGGCUACGUGUAGCCGGACUGAGAGUACCUGAAGAAAAAGCAUCGGCUAACUCCGUGCCAGCAGCCGCGGUAAUACGGAGGAUGCGAGCGUUAUCCGGAUUUAUUGGGUUUAAAGGGUGCGCAGGCGGAAUGUCAAGUCAGCGGUAAAAUUUCGGGGCUCAACCCCGUCGUGCCGUUGAAACUGACGGUCUUGAGUGGGCGAGAAGUAUGCGGAAUGCGUGGUGUAGCGGUGAAAUGCAUAGAUAUCACGCAGAACUCCGAUUGCGAAGGCAGCAUACCGGCGCCCAACUGACGCUGAAGCACGAAAGCGUGGGUAUCGAACAGGAUUAGAUACCCCAGUAAAU
This 467-nucleotide ribosomal RNA is filed under the name uncultured bacterium. RNAcentral's name for it is "bacterial SSU rRNA". It matches the Rfam family "Bacterial small subunit ribosomal RNA", at positions 331 to 795 of the family's 1533-position model. The record is from RNAcentral.